Molecule: ribosomal RNA, 442 nt
Filed under: uncultured bacterium
Lineage: Bacteria
Description: bacterial SSU rRNA
Rfam family: Bacterial small subunit ribosomal RNA
Source: RNAcentral
AACGCGAAGAACCUUACCUACCCUUGACAUCCUAAGAAGUUUGCAGAGAUGCGAAUGUGCCGAAAGGAACUUAGAGACAGGUGCUGCAUGGCUGUCGUCAGCUCGUGUUGUGAGAUGUUGGGUUAAGUCCCGUAACGAGCGCAACCCUUAUCCUUAGUUGCCAACAUGUAAUGGUGGGGACUCUAAGGAGACUGCUGGUGAUGAACCGGAGGAAGGCGGGGACGACGUCAAGUCAUCAUGGCCUUUAUGGGUAGGGCUACACACGUGCUACAAUGGGGCGCACAGAGGGUUGCCAACCAGCGAUGGGGAGCCAAUCUCUUAAAACGCCUCGUAGUCCGGAUCGGAGUCUGCAACUCGACUCCGUGAAGUCGGAAUCGCUAGUAAUCGCGAAUCAGAACGUCGCGGUGAAUACGUUCCCGGGCCUUGUACACACCGCGUGUCU